This 73-nucleotide transfer RNA is filed under the name Ictidomys tridecemlineatus (thirteen-lined ground squirrel). RNAcentral describes it as "Spermophilus tridecemlineatus (thirteen-lined ground squirrel) tRNA". It matches the Rfam family "tRNA". Rfam says of the family: Transfer RNA (tRNA) molecules are approximately 80 nucleotides in length. Their secondary structure includes four short double-helical elements and three loops (D, anti-codon, and T loops). Further hydrogen bonds mediate the characteristic L-shaped molecular structure. tRNAs have two regions of fundamental functional importance: the anti-codon, which is responsible for specific mRNA codon recognition, and the 3' end, to which the tRNAs corresponding amino acid is attached (by aminoacyl-tRNA synthetases). tRNAs cope with the degeneracy of the genetic code in two manners: having more than one tRNA (with a specific anti-codon) for a particular amino acid; and 'wobble' base-pairing, i.e. permitting non-standard base-pairing at the 3rd anti-codon position. Lineage: Eukaryota; Metazoa; Chordata; Mammalia; Rodentia; Sciuridae. The record is from Rfam by way of RNAcentral.
GGGGGCAUAGCUCAGUUGGUAGAACGCUUGUGUCCCAUACAUAAGGUCCUGGGUUCAAUCCCCAACACCCCCC